GGUUCCUUCGUCUAAUGGUUAGGACAGGAGAUUCUCAGUCUCUAAAUAGGGGUUCGAUUCCCCUAGGAACUA
Transfer RNA from Sphaerochaeta globosa str. Buddy, 72 nucleotides. It matches the Rfam family "tRNA". Rfam says of the family: Transfer RNA (tRNA) molecules are approximately 80 nucleotides in length. Their secondary structure includes four short double-helical elements and three loops (D, anti-codon, and T loops). The record is from Rfam. NCBI's taxonomy places the organism in Bacteria, Pseudomonadati, Spirochaetota, Spirochaetia, Spirochaetales, Sphaerochaetaceae.